RNAcentral lists this small RNA (416 nucleotides) under Histoplasma capsulatum. RNAcentral's name for it is "hypothetical RNA". Lineage: Eukaryota; Fungi; Ascomycota; Eurotiomycetes; Onygenales; Ajellomycetaceae. RNAcentral also lists the same sequence under 1 other name. The record is from RNAcentral.
CAAAACCUCUCCGGCGGGACAUUUCAGCGCAGCCUCCAGGGACAUUACGAGGGCAUCUGAAACUGGCGUAUACUAUGGUAUGUAAUCUGUAACUAGAGGGAUAUCGACCUCCGUUCAAUUGAAGCCACCUCUCAGCUUUUCAAAAGGGUAUCCGCGAAAAAAAAAAAAAAAAAAAAAACUUAUAUACAGCUCAUCUCAACCCCAUAUUCAGACCUAGUUCCCCAACCUUGUUGCUAAUGAAUCUCCGGUAACAGUGCUCCGUAUAUUUAACUAUUUCACAACAAAAUUGCAGCUCUCCGGCAAAUCAUAUCGCAUCUUCAGGGUCCUGCCGCGACUCGAAUGUGGGCCUCUCGUAAACAUUUGCAUUGGGGUGAACCCUCAGCGGUCCAGAGGGAAAAAAAAAAAAGAAAAAGAAA